CUGAGAUCCCUGGUGAUAGGUAUUGAAUUUCCUUUGUGAUUACACAACUAGAAAUAAAAUGGAGAUUGCAAUAGCCACAAGAUUUUCACCAAAGGCAGGAGCUGUCCUGGAACUAAAGGUGACAUUCGUGGCUGUGAAACAAUCUCAGGUUCGGGGCCUCCUCCACGGUGGUUGUACGAGUUGACUCUGGGACUGCAGGAAGUGGUUCUGACAGCUCUGAACACCUCUCUCCUCUAACAAUUGAUUCUGCUCUCCUCAACUGAUCAAUCAGCCUUCUCCAGACGCGAUCAGAUGAAAUCUCCACAAGUACCCACUUUUGAUCACUCCCGUAGUCCCUCGCCAGGGCCAGGACUGCUUGUCCAGGAGUGAGGCAUCGAACCUCCUUGUUGUCGGAGCCCUCAGUUGGUCUCAGCCGUUGGUCCUGCAUUCUCUUCCUGAGACUGGAUGAGAUCCAGCCGUGAGCACAGGGGCCGACCCAGGAGCAGCAUAGCUGCAUCUAGGGUCCUUCCAUUCAAUGUAAAAGUCCGACCUUGAUGAGGAGUCAGAGCAGAGUAAAUUCCUAGUCCACGGAAAGUUUAAAACAAGUAUGCAACAGAGAGAAGAAGUGUCAACUGCAAACUGUGCAGCUCUUGAUGGAAACUUACUCAAAUUAGUGCAUCUGCUGAUGACUGGAAAUGUUCAAGUUCAAGGUUAUUGCCAUCUGACUGUUCAUAUAUACAACCACAUGAAACGAGGUAGCUCGCAGCUUCAAUAUGAUGAGAAACUGAUUUAAUACCUUUAGGUCAACGACUCCCCCCAAUUAGGACUGGAAAAGUGAGAAGUCAAGUUUGGAUGCGGAGAGGGAGAAGGCUGGAGAAAACUGUGUGUGCGUCAGUGAUACAGAGCAAACCAAAGUGAUCAGGGUACCAAUUACUUUAAGGAAACAGCAGUUAUGAACUGAAGGGAACAAUAGAACAAAGAGGCACGCAAAUUGCUGGAGGAAGUCAGCGGGUCAUGCAGCAACCCAGAUUGUUUGUCUUCCACAUUUGUUGCUGUAUGCCCUGCUGGAUGUGGUCUUUCAUUGAUUCUAUUGUGUUUCCUGUACUUGUUGAGCUGCUACUGUGUGAUCCAGAAUCUCCGGAGGGGAAGGCCCCGAGUCCUCGGUUUUGCCUGUUGCUCAGCAGCCGGGGCAGGGUCGAAGCACUCGGCAGAGGAUGGUGCUCGGUGUCGGAGGGCUGGUCGGAGGCUCGAAGUUUUCGGACGGACUCAGAGUCCGCUGCAGUCGGGUGCUUCCAGUGGUGAUGCAUCGGCAAGUUUAUGGCGCUUGGAGGUUCAUGGCAGGGAGAGUUUCUCCCUUCUACCGUCUGCGUGAGAUGAUGCGGCUAUCGGGACUUGAGACUUUUUUUCAUCAUGCCCACGGUCUGCUCUUUAUCAAAUUACGGUAUUGCUUUGCACUGUUGUAACUAUAUGUUAUAAUUAUUUGGUUUUGCCAGUUUUAGUCUUGGUUUGUCCUGUGUUUCUGUGAUAUCGCUCUGGAGGAACGUUGUAUCAUUUUUUAAUGCAUGCAUUUCUAAAUGACAAUAAACGAGGACUGAGUAUCCUCGUAAUCUAAUCUAAUCUAAACAAGAAUUGAAAGACUCUUAGCUGGCUACAGAAAGUGUUUACAAGCUGUGAUACUUGCCAAACGGGAUGUUGCUAAG
Mobula hypostoma (lesser devil ray) is the source of this 1679-nucleotide long non-coding RNA. RefSeq lists it as uncharacterized. NCBI's taxonomy places the organism in Eukaryota, Metazoa, Chordata, Chondrichthyes, Myliobatiformes, Myliobatidae. The transcript has 4 exons. The record is from RefSeq and is a predicted model, not a curated record.